RNAcentral lists this long non-coding RNA (873 nucleotides) under Carica papaya (papaya). Its description in RNAcentral is "long non-coding RNA (CPAP_LNC013344)". Lineage: Eukaryota; Viridiplantae; Streptophyta; Magnoliopsida; Brassicales; Caricaceae. The record is from RNAcentral.
UAGAGAAAGAGAAAACGCAAUUUUACAAGAAUGACCUUUAUAAGAAAAAAAACUGCCCUACCCCUUAAUAGCGUGCCAUACCCUCUCCCUUUUACCAGGACCUAUUUGUGAAUCGUAACUCCUCUGAAUGUGAGCUACAUCUCAACACCUCUAUCCAAAACGGAUGAUUGUCCCCAUCAGAAGACCACUUAAGAGUAAAAUAAGGAAGAAAUAUGUAAGGGUAAAAAAGAAAUAGUGUAUAAGGGUAGUCUGGUCCUUUCUAUUAUAACAAACAUGUAUAUAGGGUUAGGGUUAGCAUAGUUGAACAGAAACGGAAGCAGAAAACAGGGACGAAAGGGACACUUACCCAAUCAUACUGGCCUCACAAACUGUUGCAACCUCCAAAGCACACCUAGACAGAAUACACGCCAUUGUAGCUUAUAAAUAGGCUUGAAUUCCAUGUACUAAUCAUCAAGAAUAUAUUACCUCCAAGCAACUAACCUCUCUUCUCUGUUAUCUUUUCUCUGCUCGGAGUCAGGAACGAGGUUCGUCACAAGGUGAUAUUAGAGCAGUGUACCAAAUCCAACGGGGAGCCGGUGGUGGUGGUGGAGGUGGAUUUGGCAAAAACAAUGGUCGUCCAACCCACCGUGAAGGUUGCCGACCCGCUUUGGACCAAAAUUUGAAUGGAAGCUUACAAGAAAUGCAGAUGACUGGAUCUGAUUACGGAGAUAUUGCAUGGCGAUAAUUCUUUACAAAAGAUGUGACGCCGGUGGCACGAGCGUAGCCGUCUCCAUUGGGCAACAAAAGAUCCCACAAUCCUCUGUUGCAAGAGAAGCAAAUGGGAACAGAAGAGACGAAACGGUUGAAAAAGAGGAAAACCCUAAAACUAAUUCA